GACGAACGCUGGCGGCGUGCUUAACACAUGCAAGUCGAACCAAAAUACCAAGCUUGCUUGGUUGAUUAGUGGCGAACGGGUGAGUAACACGUGAGUAACCUGCCCCUUACUUUCCUGGAUAACUGCUCGAAAGGGUAGCUAAUACGGGAUAUUCUGACCAGCCUGCAUGGGUUGGUUUGGAAAGGUUGUUUUUCUGGUAAGGGAUGGGCUCGCGGCCUAUCAGCUUGUUGGUGGGGUGAUGGCCUACCAAGGCUUUGACGGGUAGCCGGCCUGAGAGGGUGGACGGUCACACUGGGACUGAGAUACGGCCCAGACUCCUACGGGAGGCAGCAGUGGGGAAUAUUGCACAAUGGGCGCAAGCCUGAUGCAGCGACGCCGCGUGAGGGAUGAAGGCCUUCGGGUUGUAAACCUCUUUCGUCAGGGAACAAGGCACUGCUUUUUUGGUGGUGUUGAGGGUACCUGGAUAAGAAGCGCCGGCUAACUACGUG
Molecule: ribosomal RNA, 488 nt
Filed under: uncultured bacterium
Lineage: Bacteria
Description: partial 16S ribosomal RNA
Rfam family: Bacterial small subunit ribosomal RNA
Source: RNAcentral